This 469-nucleotide ribosomal RNA is filed under the name uncultured bacterium. RNAcentral's name for it is "SSU rRNA". It matches the Rfam family "Bacterial small subunit ribosomal RNA", at positions 26 to 521 of the family's 1533-position model. The record is from RNAcentral.
AGGACGAACGCUGGCGGCGUGCCUAACACAUGCAAGUCGAACGGAGCCCGCAAGGGUUCAGUGGCGAACGGGUGCGUAACACGUGAGGAACUUGUCCAUCGGCGGGGGAUAGCCGGCCCAACGGCCGGGUAAUACCGCGUACGCCGUCCGGAGCGCAUGCUCUGGCCGGGAAAGCAGCAAUGCACCGAUGGAGAGCCUCGCGGCCUAUCAGCUAGUUGGUGGGGUAAUGGCCUACCAAGGCGACGACGGGUAGCUGGUCUGAGAGGAUGACCAGCCACAUUGGGACUGAGACACGGCCCAGACUCCUACGGGAGGCAGCAGUGGGGAAUAUUGCGCAAUGGGCGAAAGCCUGACGCAGCGACGCCGCGUGUGGGAUGACGGCCUUCGGGUUGUAACCACUGUCGCGAGGGACGAAGAUCUGACGGUACCUCGAAGGAGCACCGGCUAACUCUGUGCCAGCAGCCGCGGU